RNAcentral lists this ribosomal RNA (305 nucleotides) under uncultured bacterium. RNAcentral's name for it is "bacterial SSU rRNA". It matches the Rfam family "Bacterial small subunit ribosomal RNA", at positions 333 to 658 of the family's 1533-position model. The record is from RNAcentral.
GGGCCCUCGGGGGCAGCAGUGGGGAAUAUUGCACAAUGGGGGAAACCCUGAUGCAGCGACGCCGCGUGAAGGAAGAAGUAUUUCGGUAUGUAAACUUCUAUCAGCAGGGAAGAAAAUGACGGUACCUGACUAAGAAGCCCCGGCUAACUACGUGCCAGCAGCCGCGGUAAUACGUAGGGGGCAAGCGUUAUCCGGAUUUACUGGGUGUAAAGGGAGCGUAGGCGGCGAUGCAAGUCAGAAGUGAAAGCCCGGGGCUCAACUCCGGGACUGCUGUUGAAACUGUAUGGCUAGAUUGCAGGAGAGGC